GACGAACGCUGGCGGCGUGCCUAAUACAUGCAAGUCGAACGCAGUGGGGACGGGUGAGUAACACGUGGGUAACCUCCCAUCAGAGGGGAUAACACUUGGAAACAGGUGCUAAACCGAUACUGAUGGAUGGACCUGCGGGGCAUUAGCUAGUUGGUGAGGUAACGGCUCACCAAGGCGACGAUGCAUAGCCGGCCUGAGAGGGUGACCGGCCACACUGGGACUGAGACACGGCCCAGACUCCUACGGGAGGCAGCAGUGGGGAAUCUUCGGCAAUGGACGAAAGUCUGACGGAGCAACGCCGCGUGAGUGAAGAAGGUUUUCGGGUCGUAAAGCUCUGUUGGUGGGGAGGCGGUAUCUAACCAGGAAGCCACGGCUAACUACGUGCCAGCAGCCGCGGUAAUUC
Molecule: ribosomal RNA, 403 nt
Filed under: uncultured bacterium
Lineage: Bacteria
Description: partial 16S ribosomal RNA
Rfam family: Bacterial small subunit ribosomal RNA
Source: RNAcentral